CGAGCGGACAGAUGGGAGCUUGCUCCCUGAUGUUAGCGGCGGACGGGUGAGUAACACGUGGGUAACCUGCCUGUAAGACUGGGAUAACUCCGGGAAACCGGGGCUAAUACCGGAUGGUUGUUUGAACCGCAUGGUUCAGACAUAAAAGGUGGCUUCGGCUACCACUUACAGAUGGACCCGCGGCGCAUUAGCUAGUUGGUGAGGUAACGGCUCACCAAGGCGACGAUGCGUAGCCGACCUGAGAGGGUGAUCGGCCACACUGGGACUGAGACACGGCCCAGACUCCUACGGGAGGCAGCAGUAGGGAAUCUUCCGCAAUGGACGAAAGUCUGACGGAGCAACGCCGCGUGAGUGAUGAAGGUUUUCGGAUCGUAAAGCUCUGUUGUUAGGGAAGAACAAGUGCCGUUCAAAUAGGGCGGCACCUUGACGGUACCUAACCAGAAAGCCACGGCUAACUACGUGCCAGCAGCCGCGGUAAUACGUAGGUGGCAAGCGUUGUCCGGAAUUAUUGGGCGUAAAGGGCUCGCAGGCGGUUUCUUAAGUCUGAUGUGAAAGCCCCCGGCUCAACCGGGGAGGGUCAUUGGAAACUGGGGAACUUGAGUGCAGAAGAGGAGAGUGGAAUUCCACGUGUAGCGGUGAAAUGCGUAGAGAUGUGGAGGAACACCAGUGGCGAAGGCGACUCUCUGGUCUGUAACUGACGCUGAGGAGCGAAAGCGUGGGGAGCGAACAGGAUUAGAUACCCUGGUAGUCCACGCCGUAAACGAUGAGUGCUAAGUGUUAGGGGGUUUCCGCCCCUUAGUGCUGCAGCUAACGCAUUAAGCACUCCGCCUGGGGAGUACGGUCGCAAGACUGAAACUCAAAGGAAUUGACGGGGGCCCGCACAAGCGGUGGAGCAUGUGGUUUAAUUCGAAGCAACGCGAAGAACCUUACCAGGUCUUGACAUCCUCUGACAAUCCUAGAGAUAGGACGUCCCCUUCGGGGGCAGAGUGACAGGUGGUGCAUGGUUGUCGUCAGCUCGUGUCGUGAGAUGUUGGGUUAAGUCCCGCAACGAGCGCAACCCUUGAUCUUAGUUGCCAGCAUUCAGUUGGGCACUCUAAGGUGACUGCCGGUGACAAACCGGAGGAAGGUGGGGAUGACGUCAAAUCAUCAUGCCCCUUAUGACCUGGGCUACACACGUGCUACAAUGGACAGAACAAAGGGCAGCGAAACCGCGAGGUUAAGCCAAUCCCACAAAUCUGUUCUCAGUUCGGAUCGCAGUCUGCAACUCGACUGCGUGAAGCUGGAAUCGCUAGUAAUCGCGGAUCAG
RNAcentral lists this ribosomal RNA (1306 nucleotides) under Bacillus velezensis. RNAcentral's name for it is "bacterial SSU rRNA". It matches the Rfam family "Bacterial small subunit ribosomal RNA", at positions 63 to 1352 of the family's 1533-position model. Lineage: Bacteria; Bacillati; Bacillota; Bacilli; Caryophanales; Bacillaceae. The record is from RNAcentral.